UGAGUCCUACGGGAGGCAGCAGUGAGGAAUAUUGGUCAAUGGGCGAGAGCCUGAACCAGCCAAGUCGCGUGAGGGAAGACGGUCCUAUGGAUUGUAAACCUCUUUUGCCGGGGAGCAAAAAGCGGUACGUGUACCGCAUCGAGAGUACCCGGAGAAAAAGCAUCGGCUAACUCCGUGCCAGCAGCCGCGGUAAUACGUAUGGGGCAAGCGUUAUCCGGAUUUACUGGGUGUAAAGGGAGCGUAGGCGGCCUGGCAAGCCUGAUGUGAAAUACCGGGGCCCAACCCCGGGGAUGCAUUGGGAACUG
Molecule: ribosomal RNA, 305 nt
Filed under: uncultured bacterium
Lineage: Bacteria
Description: bacterial SSU rRNA
Rfam family: Bacterial small subunit ribosomal RNA
Source: RNAcentral